Molecule: ribosomal RNA, 253 nt
Filed under: uncultured bacterium
Lineage: Bacteria
Description: partial 16S ribosomal RNA
Rfam family: Bacterial small subunit ribosomal RNA
Source: RNAcentral
UACGGAGGAUGCAAGCGUUAUCCGGAAUGAUUGGGCGUAAAGAGUCCGUAGGUGGCGAUUCAAGUCUAUUGUUAAAGAGCGAGGCUUAACUUCGUCAAGGCCGUAGAAACUGAAGAGCUAGAGAGCAGUAGGGGCAGAAGGAAUUCCUGGUGUAGCGGUGAAAUGCGUAGAGAUCAGGAAGAACACCGGUGGCGAAAGCGUUCUGCUGGGCUGCGACUGACACUGAGGGACGAAAGCUAGGGGAGCGAAUGGG